This 547-nucleotide ribosomal RNA is filed under the name uncultured Glomeromycotina. RNAcentral's name for it is "SSU rRNA". It matches the Rfam family "Eukaryotic small subunit ribosomal RNA", at positions 548 to 1097 of the family's 1831-position model. The record is from RNAcentral. Lineage: Eukaryota; Fungi; Glomeromycota.
UUGGAGGGCAAGUCUGGUGCCAGCAGCCGCGGUAAUUCCAGCUCCAAUAGCGUAUAUUAAAGUUGUUGCAGUUAAAAAGCUCGUAGUUGAAUUUCGGGGUCAGUAGGCUGGUCGUGCCACGGGUAUGUACUGGUCUCACUGAUUCCUCCUUCCUGAUGAACCGUAAUGCCAUUAAUUUGGUGUUGCGGGGAAACUGGACUGUUACUUUGAAAAAAUUAGAGUGUUUAAAGCAGGCUAACGCUUGAAUACAUUAGCAUGGAAUAAUGAAAUAGGACGUUCGAUCCUAUUUUGUUGGUUUCUAGGAUUGACGUAAUGAUUAAUAGGGAUAGUUGGGGGCAUUAGUAUUCAAUUGUCAGAGGUGAAAUUCUUGGAUUUAUUGAAGACUAACUACUGCGAAAGCAUUUGCCAAGGAUGUUUUCAUUAAUCAAGAACGAAAGUUAGGGGAUCGAAGACGAUCAGAUACCGUCGUAGUCUUAACCAUAAACUAUGCCGACUAGGGAUCGGAUGAUGUUAAUUUUUCUUGACUCGUUCGGCGCCUUACGGGAAA